This 494-nucleotide ribosomal RNA is filed under the name uncultured bacterium. RNAcentral's name for it is "bacterial SSU rRNA". It matches the Rfam family "Bacterial small subunit ribosomal RNA", at positions 29 to 518 of the family's 1533-position model. The record is from RNAcentral.
AUUGAACGCUGGCGGCAUGCCUUACACAUGCAAGUCGAACGGCAGCACGGGAGCAAUCCUGGUGGCGAGUGGCGAACGGGUGAGUAAUACAUCGGAACGUGCCCAGUAGUGGGGGAUAGCCCGGCGAAAGCCGGAUUAAUACCGCAUACGACCUACGGGUGAAAGCGGGGGAUCGCAAGACCUCGCGCUAUUGGAGCGGCCGAUGGCAGAUUAGGUAGUUGGUGAGGUAAAGGCUCACCAAGCCAACGAUCUGUAGCUGGUCUGAGAGGACGACCAGCCACACUGGGACUGAGACACGGCCCAGACUCCUACGGGAGGCAGCAGUGGGGAAUUUUGGACAAUGGGCGCAAGCCUGAUCCAGCCAUGCCGCGUGCGGGAAGAAGGCCUCGGGUUGUAAACCGCUUUGUCUAGGGAGAAACGCUCCGAGCCAAUACCUCGGAGUAAUGACGGUACCUGAAGAAUAAGCACCGGCGUAACUACGUGCCAGCAGCCGC